GACGAACGCUGGCGGCGUGCCUAAUACAUGCAAGUCGAGCGGACUUGAAGGAGUGCUUGCACUCCUGAGAGUUAGCGGCGGACGGGUGAGUAACACGUAGGCAACCUGCCCUCAAGACUGGGAUAACUACCGGAAACGGUAGCUAAUACCGGAUAAUUUAUUACAUAGCAUUAUGUGAUAAUGAAAGACGGAGCAAUCUGUCACUUGGGGAUGGGCCUGCGGCGCAUUAGCUAGUUGGUGGGGUAACGGCCCACCAAGGCGACGAUGCGUAGCCGACCUGAGAGGGUGAACGGCCAACGUGGGACGGAGACACGGCCCAGACUCCUAGGGGGGGCAGCGGGAGGAAAUCUGCCGAAAUGGGCGAAAGCCGGAGGGAACAGCGCCGGGUGAGUGAAGAAGGUUUUGGGUUCGUAAAGCGCUUUUGCCAAAGAAAAACGUCUCAAAGGGUAACUGCUAUGGGAGGGAGGUAACUUGAGAAAAAAGCCCCGGCAAACUACGG
Molecule: ribosomal RNA, 499 nt
Filed under: uncultured bacterium
Lineage: Bacteria
Description: partial 16S ribosomal RNA
Rfam family: Bacterial small subunit ribosomal RNA
Source: RNAcentral